This 949-nucleotide ribosomal RNA is filed under the name uncultured organism. Its description in RNAcentral is "bacterial SSU rRNA". It matches the Rfam family "Bacterial small subunit ribosomal RNA", at positions 1 to 917 of the family's 1533-position model. The record is from RNAcentral.
UGGAUCCAGACUUUGAUCAUGGCUCAGGACGAACGCUGGCGGCGCGCCUAAUACAUGCAAGUCGAACGAAGCUUUCUUUCACCGAAUGCUUGCAUUCACCGAAAGAAGCUUAGUGGCGAACGGGUGAGUAACACGUAGGCAACCUGCCCAAAAGAGGGGGAUAACACUUGGAAACAGGUGCUAAUACCGCAUAACCAUGAACACCGCAUGAUGUUCAUGUAAAAGACGGCUUUUGCUGUCACUUUUGGAUGGGCCUGCGGCGUAUUAACUUGUUGGUGGGGUAACGGCCUACCAAGGUGAUGAUACGUAGCCGAACUGAGAGGUUGAUCGGCCACAUUGGGACUGAGACACGGCCCAAACUCCUACGGGAGGCAGCAGUAGGGAAUCUUCCACAAUGGACGAAAGUCUGAUGGAGCAACGCCGCGUGAAUGAAGAAGGCCUUCGGGUCGUAAAAUUCUGUUGUCAGAGAAGAACGUGCGUGAGAGUAACUGUUCACGUAUUGACGGUAUCUGACCAGAAAGCCACGGCUAACUACGUGCCAGCAGCCGCGGUAAUACGUAGGUGGCGAGCGUUGUCCGGAUUUAUUGGGCGUAAAGGGAACGCAGGCGGUCUUUUAAGUCUGAUGUGAAAGCCUUCGGCUUAACCGAAGUAGUGCAUUGGAAACUGGAAGACUUGAGUGCAGAAGAGGAGAGUGGAACUCCAUGUGUAGCGGUGAAAUGCGUAGAUAUAUGGAAGAACACCAGUGGCGAAAGCGGCUCUCUGGUCUGUAACUGACGCUGAGGUUCGAAAGCGUGGGUAGCAAACAGGAUUAGAUACCCUGGUAGUCCACGCCGUAAACGAUGAGUGCUAAGUGUUGGAGGGUUUCCGCCCUUCAGUGCUGCAGCUAACGCAUUAAGCACUCCGCCUGGGGAGUACGGUCGCAAGACUGCAACUCAAAUGAAUUGACGGA